RNAcentral lists this transfer RNA (70 nucleotides) under Ochotona collaris. Its description in RNAcentral is "tRNA-Gly". It matches the Rfam family "tRNA". Rfam says of the family: Transfer RNA (tRNA) molecules are approximately 80 nucleotides in length. Lineage: Eukaryota; Metazoa; Chordata; Mammalia; Lagomorpha; Ochotonidae. The record is from RNAcentral.
ACUUCCUUAGUAUAAUUUAGUACGACUGACUUCCAAUCAGCCAGCUCUGGUUACAACCCAGAAUGAAGUA